UGGGAUAUAACCCAGUUGGUAGAGUGCUUGCCUUGCAUGCACAAAGCCCUGGGUUCAAUCCCCAGCAACCCUG
Non-coding RNA from Ictidomys tridecemlineatus (thirteen-lined ground squirrel), 73 nucleotides. The record is from Rfam. NCBI's taxonomy places the organism in Eukaryota, Metazoa, Chordata, Mammalia, Rodentia, Sciuridae.